CGGUUCUCGUUAGAUCACCGAAGUCAAGCAUCAUUGGGCGCGGUCAGUACUUGGGUGGGUGACCACCUGG
Caerostris darwini is the source of this 70-nucleotide non-coding RNA. The record is from the annotation of a GenBank genome assembly. NCBI's taxonomy places the organism in Eukaryota, Metazoa, Arthropoda, Arachnida, Araneae, Araneidae.